RNAcentral lists this transfer RNA (77 nucleotides) under Deltaproteobacteria bacterium PRO3. Its description in RNAcentral is "tRNA-Pro". It matches the Rfam family "tRNA". From Rfam's summary of the family: Transfer RNA (tRNA) molecules are approximately 80 nucleotides in length. Their secondary structure includes four short double-helical elements and three loops (D, anti-codon, and T loops). Lineage: Bacteria; Deltaproteobacteria. The record is from RNAcentral.
CGGGGCGUAGCUCAGCCUGGUAGAGUACUAGCUUCGGGAGCUAGGUGUCGCUGGUUCAAAUCCAGUCGCCCCGACCA